AUAAAGGCAAUGACCGUGUAAGUAGUGAGCCAUUUUCCGAUAGAGAGAGGGAAUCAACAGGCUGAAAGUUCCCUUGGGUUCAGAUGGUAAAUGAAUUUCCCGCGUGAGCUGUGUUCUUGAAAUAACAGUAGAGAACGCCGUAUGAUGCACGUUACGCAAUAAUGAGUGUCCGUAAAAGUUUUUACGGGAAUCAGGGUGGUACCACGGGUUAUAUGUCUCGUCCCUUUU
Molecule: non-coding RNA, 228 nt
Filed under: Dorea sp.
Lineage: Bacteria; Bacillati; Bacillota; Clostridia; Lachnospirales; Lachnospiraceae
Description: T-box sequence
Rfam family: T-box leader
About the family: Uncharged tRNA acts as the effector for transcription antitermination of genes in the T-box leader family. T-boxes are found upstream of many aminoacyl-tRNA synthetase genes and some amino acid biosynthetic genes usually in Gram-positive bacteria.
Source: RNAcentral